GACAUUUUUCAUCCAUUCCGAGUUUAACUGUAAUUUUAUGAGUUGUCAUGCUGUUCUUAGAGUGGAUUUGAAUGCACAGUCAUAUUUGUGGUGGUCCAAAUCCUCUUUUAGUUGUAGAAGGGGAAAAGACUGUGAUGGAUCUUACUACAACCUCCUAAAUAUUCACCAGAACAGAGGAAAUAUUCAACAAAAAUGUCUGAAAAACUUCCAAAAAAACUGUCUGAAAUGUAAGUAUUUUUUUCCAAAAAGGAGGUAUUUACAACCAUUGCCUUUUUCUUACAGUGUAUAUGAUUGAAUUAAGUAAAAUGUGUUUUUAAAUGUGUAUUCCGACUGGAAAAAUCUGCUGGUCUGGACAAAGUUUGCUUAACUUGAUUCGGAUUGCGUCCUAAACCUUGCAUUUGGUCUGUAAUCAGACUCCCUUCAACCGGACAUUUCUGUUUCGAGCUAAAACUUGUAAACCGAGAGCGGUUCCUGGUCCCACAAAUACCAGCUCUCUUUAAGUGAACCAAAUCUGUUGAACCAAAGUUAUGACGAAGUGGCCAUAUUUUAUUUGCAGAAUGGCUUUUUUUUAUCUUGAAACCUCAAAAGAUAGCUGAACUUUUCAAUUUGUAAUUGUAAUAUAUUUUAGAAUCUGCAUGGUGAUAAAUAAAAGCUUUGCACUCAUUUCAUGGCAGUUAUUUGGAAUGAAGCACCAUGUGAAUACUCUUUUUUUUAACCUCUUCUCUUAAACAGCAUCAGCAACGAAGCUGUUUUAAGAGUCAAAGAGACGAAGGACAGGGAGAAGGGUCAACAUUUAUACAUUGUUGUUUAGAAAGUUUUUUUUUUUUUAAUAGUUGUGUUUUCAGGUAAAAUGUUCUUUUUAACCCUUGUGCUAUCUUUUGGUAUCCCCACCCUUACAUUGAUGUGUUCUCCCUACCAUGACAAAGGUGGAUAAAGGUGGAAAGAUUUCAUGUAAUCCAUGGACACCAGUGAAGAUCACAAAUCAUUGAAGAAAAAGGUUCAGCGCACUGUCUAGUGGGUCUAGAUGACCCAACUCCCAAUGUUAAAGUGCCUAGGACACCACAAGGGUUAAUUGUAAUUUUCUCUGCCUCAGGAUCACUUCACCUGUAGUUUUGUUGCUAAGCUUCUCCUUUAAAGCUAAACACAGUUGUCCUUUGUUCAUACAGCUUUUCAGGCAGAAACAUUUUUAUGCUGACAAUUAUUUUGCAUUUAGAGAGUAAGGUUGUGAUGUUUGAAAUAAAAUGAGGCCUAAAAAAUACACGAAAUCGGAAAAAAAUGAUUGGAUUGAUGGGUUUUGUUGCUUGUUUAUGUAAAAAUGCUGCGAAGUCACAGCUGCAUUUUGUUAAACAACAUGAAAAUGUGAGUUUGAAGAAAAUAAGAUGGCUAAUUUGCAUUUCACCUGGAAACAGGAAAU
Molecule: long non-coding RNA, 1414 nt
Filed under: Oryzias sinensis (Chinese medaka)
Lineage: Eukaryota; Metazoa; Chordata; Actinopteri; Beloniformes; Adrianichthyidae
Description: lncRNA (ENSOSIG00000018437.1)
Source: RNAcentral